UCAUAGAACGAUAGUUCUCUUCAAAGCG
Molecule: small RNA, 28 nt
Filed under: Bombyx mori (domestic silkworm)
Lineage: Eukaryota; Metazoa; Arthropoda; Insecta; Lepidoptera; Bombycidae
Description: ovarian small RNA-25918
Source: RNAcentral